Molecule: microRNA, 25 nt
Filed under: Rattus norvegicus (Norway rat)
Lineage: Eukaryota; Metazoa; Chordata; Mammalia; Rodentia; Muridae
Description: Rno-Mir-298_3p* (star (passenger))
Source: RNAcentral
GAGGAACUAGCCUUCUCUCUGCUUA